Molecule: ribosomal RNA, 778 nt
Filed under: uncultured bacterium
Lineage: Bacteria
Description: bacterial SSU rRNA
Rfam family: Bacterial small subunit ribosomal RNA
Source: RNAcentral
UCGAGCGAGUCUGCCUUGAAGAUCGGAGUGCUUGCACUCUGUGAAACAAGAUACAGGCUAGCGGCGGACGGGUGAGUAACACGUGGGUAACCUGCCCAAGAGAUCGGGAUAACACCUGGAAACAGAUGCUAAUACCGGAUAAUAACAGAUGAUGCCUAUCAACUGUUUAAAAGAUGGUUCUGCUAUCACUCUUGGAUGGACCUGCGGUGCAUUAGCUAGUUGGUAGGGUAACGGCCUACCAAGGCGAUGAUGCAUAGCCGAGUUGAGAGACUGAUCGGCCACAUUGGGACUGAGACACGGCCCAAACUCCUACGGGAGGCAGCAGUAGGGAAUCUUCCACAAUGGACGCAAGUCUGAUGGAGCAACGCCGCGUGAGUGAAGAAGGGUUUCGGCUCGUAAAGCUCUGUUGUUGGUGAAGAAGGACAGGGGUAGUAACUGACCUUUGUUUGACGGUAAUCAAUUAGAAAGUCACGGCUAACUACGUGCCAGCAGCCGCGGUAAUACGUAGGUGGCAAGCGUUGUCCGGAUUUAUUGGGCGUAAAGCGAGUGCAGGCGGUUCGAUAAGUCUGAUGUGAAAGCCUUCGGCUCAACCGGAGAAAUGCAUCAGAAACUGUCGAGCUUGAGUACAGAAGAGGAGAGUGGAACUCCAUGUGUAGCGGUGAAAUGCGUAGAUAUAUGGAAGAACACCGGUGGCGAAGGCGGCUCUCUGGUCUGUUACUGACGCUGAGGCUCGAAAGCAUGGGUAGCGAACAGGAUUAGAUACCCUGGUAGUCCAUGC